UACGUAGGGAGCAAGUGUUGUCCGGAAUUACUGGGCGUAAAGCGUGCGCAGGCGGCUUUGCAAGACAGAUGUGAAAUCCCCGGGCUUAACCUGGGAACUGCAUUUGUGACUGCAUUGCUGGAGUGCGGCAGAGGGGGAUGGAAUUCCGCGUGUAGCAGUGAAAUGCGUAGAUAUGCGGAGGAACACCGAUGGCGAAGGCAAUCCCCUGGGCCUGCACUGACGCUCAUGCACGAAAGCGUGGGGAGCAAACAGG
This 253-nucleotide ribosomal RNA is filed under the name uncultured bacterium. RNAcentral describes it as "partial 16S ribosomal RNA". It matches the Rfam family "Bacterial small subunit ribosomal RNA", at positions 524 to 776 of the family's 1533-position model. The record is from RNAcentral.